UCUACCUGGUAGUACGGAAUAAUUGUUGGAAACGACAACUAAUACCGUAUACGCCCUACGGGGGAAAGAUUUAUUGCUAUUAGAUGAGCCUAUAUUAGAUUAGCUAGUUGGUGAGGUAAAAGCUUACCAAGGCAAUGAUCUAUAGCUGAUCUGAGAGGAUGAUCAGCCACACUGGAACUGAGAUACGGUCCAGACUCCUACGGGAGGCAGCAGUGGGGAAUAUUGGACAAUGGGCGAAAGCCUGAUCCAGCCAUGCCGCAUGAGUGAAGAAGGCUUUCGGGUUGUAAAGCUCUUUUAGUGAGGAAGAUAAUGACGGUACUCACAGAAGAAGUCCUGGCUAACUCCGUGCCAGCAGCCGCGGUAAUACGGAGAGGGCUAGCGUUAUUCGGAAUCAUUGGGCGUAAAGGGCGCGUAGGCUGGUUAGUAAGUUAAAAGUGAAAUCCCAAGGCUCAACUUUGGAAUUGCUUUUAAAACUGCUAAUCUAGAGAUUGAAAGAGGAUAGAGGAAUUCCUAGUGUAGAGGUGA
RNAcentral lists this ribosomal RNA (525 nucleotides) under Wolbachia endosymbiont of Tunga penetrans. Its description in RNAcentral is "bacterial SSU rRNA". It matches the Rfam family "Bacterial small subunit ribosomal RNA", at positions 125 to 684 of the family's 1533-position model. The record is from RNAcentral. Lineage: Bacteria; Pseudomonadati; Pseudomonadota; Alphaproteobacteria; Rickettsiales; Anaplasmataceae.